Molecule: ribosomal RNA, 478 nt
Filed under: uncultured bacterium
Lineage: Bacteria
Description: partial 16S ribosomal RNA
Rfam family: Bacterial small subunit ribosomal RNA
Source: RNAcentral
GAUGAACGCUGGCGGCGUGCUUAACACAUGCAAGUCGAACGAGAAGUGAAGACGGAAACCUUCGGGCGGAAGGCUUUAUUUCGAGUGGCGGACGGGGGAGUAACGCGUGGGUAACCUGCCUCAUACAGGGGGAUAACAGUUGGAAACGACUGUUAAUACCGCAUAAGACCACAGCACCGCAUGGUGCGGGGGUAAAAACUCCGGUGGUAUGAGAUGGACCCGCGUUCGAUUAGCCAGUUGGCGGGGUAACGGCCCACCAAAGCGACGAUGGAUAGCCGAUCUGAGAGGAUGACCCGUCACAUUGGGACUGAGACACGGCCCCAAAUCCUACGGGAGGCAGCAGUGGGGAAUAUUGCACAAUGGGGGAAACCCUGAUGCAGCCACGCCGCGUGAGUGAAGAAGUAUUUCGGUAUGUAAAGCUCUAUCAGCAGGGAAGAGAAUGACGGUACCUGGGUAAGAAGCCCCGGCUAACUACGUG